Molecule: long non-coding RNA, 24833 nt
Filed under: Theobroma cacao (cacao)
Lineage: Eukaryota; Viridiplantae; Streptophyta; Magnoliopsida; Malvales; Malvaceae
Description: long non-coding RNA (TCAC_LNC003386)
Source: RNAcentral
AGAGAAAAAGUGUGGAAAAUCAAGGAAAACAAGUGAAAAAGGUAGGAUUUUUCAACUUAAGCUUGAAAUNNNNNNNNNNNNNNNNNNNNNNNNNNNNNNNNNNNNNNNNNNNNNNNNNNNNNNNNNNNNNNNNNNNNNNNNNNNNNNNNNNNNNNNNNNNNNNNNNNNNNNNNNNNNNNNNNNNNNNNNNNNNNNNNNNNNNNNNNNNNNNNNNNNNNNNNNNNNNNNNNNUUAUGUUAGUAUUUUUAGUUAGUUUAGCAUAUUUAGAAACAAAAUAACAAGAAAAGAAUUUAUUUUCUCCCACAACCAUUAAUGGCCGAAUUGACCAUGUAUUGAGUGAGGAUGAGUUUAAUUUUUAUUCUAGGAGAAUUGGUUAAGAAAUGAUGAAUUAUGGUGUGGAAAAGUAGUAGGAAAAAUCACGGUGUUAAUGCACCAUUAUUGGCCAAAAAUUUUAAGAAGAAAAGUGAAGAUAGUUUUGCCAAAUUUUAGGUUAUUUGAUUUGAAUUUGGUGAAUUAAGAUAUUGGAAAAGAAUUGGAACGAUUUGGAGUAAUUUGGGAUUAAAUUGGACGAGUUAGUAAUUUAAUCGGGUGAUAAGAUGAAUUAGGCCAAUACCGAGUUUAGAUAGUUACCAGUGCAUUUUUGCAUUCCAUAUUAUUCAUUAAUAGUCUAAAUUAGUUUAAUUUCAAUUUAGUACCAAUUUGGUGAAUUUCUUGAUUUUGUACUGUGUCAAGGUGGUGAGUCCUCCGAUAAAGGCAAGGAAAUUGCAUCCGAUGACCAGUAGACAGAGUGCUUCGAAAGUCUGCAUUCUAGACAUUGUGAGUAAACUUACUAUCAUUUUAAUUAUCUAGGGUGAUUUUUAGAUGAUUUCAUUAAUUCUAUGGAAAAAUGGAUUUAAAAAGGUAAAUUUUCAUGUUUUAUAAAUAAAGGUGUUCCAAUGAAAUUAAAUUAAAAAUUGUUUUGAAAUUAAUAGUGAUUUUGAAAAAUAGAAUACACGGGACUGUUAAUUGUGACAAUUUGAUUGUUUAAAUUGAUUGGCUUAUGAUAAAUCGGGCAAGAUUGACUAGUUGGCAAUUGUAUUGAAAUACGAAUUGUUUGGUUGCCUUGAAAGACUACGAAUUACAAAAUUGCCAUAUCAUGUUAUUGAGUUUUAUUGUAUGGUGGAUUAUAUAUUAAUUAAUCAUUGCAGUAGGGAGUUUCUGUGAAUCAACCUUUUAGAGGGGCACGACAAACCCUAUUAUAUUCUUACCUCGAACGGAGAGGCGCGUAAGGUAUCUUCUGGGGUAAAGCUUAGGGUUCACUUCACGCCAAACCACCACGUGAGGGGGAACUCAGCCAAUGCCAAGGAAUGGCUAUGUUUUCAAAACAAAAACAUGAUUUAUGUGAAAUGUGAAUUUUAAUAGCAUUGGCGGUCUCGGUGGGAUGCCUCGGCCAAGGUGUUCUUGAGAAUGGAUUUAUGGCAUAAGCCUAAUUUUUAUGAGAUUCAUAAGCCUCUUUACGUAUUUUAAAUGAAAUGUAUUCUAAUGCCGUGACCCAGUUUACGAUGAUUUACUUUAUUAUCUCCAUGUACUCAACUCUAGAUGUUUAUGAUGAUGUUUGUUUACUCAUUGGGAUUUUAUAAUCUCACCACCCUCCUUUCCCCCCAUUUCAGGUUCAGUAUAGACUGUAGAUGGCUGAUCUCAUUGAGGACUACCGUUGGAUCUACAUUUUCCAAACCGUAGGUUCACAGUCCUCUUUACUUUUAUUUAUUCGGGGGCCCUCUUGUUAUUGUAAAUUAAAUUAAAUAUUUUGGCUUACUGUAUUACAGUAUGUAUAAAUUUAUUUAGCUUUUACACUAUAAAAAUUAUUCACGUAUAACUCUAUAAAUAUUGUUUUAUAAGAAAAUAGAAUAUUUUACUUAAUAUUUCUUUUAUUUUCUUAUUAUAUUCAAAUAACCAUAAUUUCUUUUUAAAUGAAGAUUUUAGACUUUUAAACUCAUUUUGAAUAUGAAUUAUGUGUUUUGUACUUGUAUAUUACGUUUUAGCCAAUUUCAAAAUUUUAUAGAAAAAUGACCAAAAUACCCCUGUGAGACGAAAAUUAAUAUUUUAUUUGUUUUUAGUUGGAAACAGUUUAAAAUCUUUUAGAACACAAUAUUUGAUAAUGGUUGCUCACAAGGGAAAUGAGAAACUGAUAGUAAAGCCUUGCGAGGUUUUGGGUUGACAUUCCGGGCAAUAAGUGUCUACCGAGACACCGCGGUGGUUGUCACGGGCUCGAGGGGAGUACCAGGUCGUGACAACAUGUGUGGGAAUUGACUAGCUCUAGUAAUUUUAGUGACCUAAAGAUAAUAAGUUACAAAAGUUGUGUUAAAUUCUCAUGACCAUUCUUACGUGAAAGGUUCUCUAAUUAUAUGUUAUGCAUUCAACCUAAAAGCAUUUAGAUGAUGAUCUGAUUGGACUCUUUGAUUUUUCUCAUUUAUGAUUUUGUAGUAUUUUAUUUAUCCAAUUUAUUCUAAUUAAGUUAUAUUGUUUAAAUAUUUAAUUACUCUUUUUUGUGCAAAUAACAAAAUGGCCACCAUUGAGAUUUUGACUAAGUCAAACUUCAAGAAAUGGAAAAGCAAUGUGGAGUUUGCCAUUAUGAAAAUAGACAUAGAUCUAGUUAUGAAAGUAAAUAAAUAUGCAAAACCUAAUACUUAAAGUUUUAAGAAUUAUAAAAAAGCCUCUGAGGCAUGGGAGAGAUUUGGAAAAUUGUAUCUACUUUUUGGAGGUCUGUUCCUAUACACCCAUUAAGAGGACUUUUUGAUACCACUAAUGUAAAGGAGUUUUUAAUCACAAUAACACUUAGGAUUAAAGUGUCAACAAAUAUUGAAAUUAACACUUUUUUUAAAGGACGUUAAUCCAUGAGUUAUUAUGGAAUAAGAAGAAUUUAGGGAGUACAUCAUUAUGACAGUCUACUAAACAUAAUACUCCUAAACAAGUUAAGAUAAAAAGGAAAAACUCGAUCAAUUUGUUAGUGUAAGGAAUUUAAAAGUUGUAACUUCAAUGUUUAUAUUGCAAGAAAAUGGGACUUAAGAAAUAAGAAUGUUUGAAAUAUAAAACUUGACUAAAGAAACUUGAGCAUGAAGGUAACUCCUUGAUUCUUGUUAUACAUGAAUCCAACUUAAUUGAAAGCCUUCUCUAGUUUUUAAUAGCUAGAAAAUGAUACAACUAAUCAAUUUGCUUUAUAAGGAUUCAUAAACAAGAAGAAACCAAAUAAGAAAGAGUUUAAACUCCUGGUUGGCAACAAUAUAGACAUGGAAGUUAAGCUUGCAGAACCAAUUUGCUGAAUUUAAGUACUAGUAGUACACUUUGAUUGAAAAACACUUUUUAUAUAUGUACCAUCAUUUAGAUGGAGUUUAAAUUUUGUUUUUGCAUUACUACUGGUUAUAUUUUUGAAAUAAAGAAUUAAAUUAUUAAGAUAUUAACAAGUGUUCUUGCUUUUCCAAUGUUAUUUGUCACACGAAUUAUAUAGAAUGUGUUUAAUUCCUACUAAAUAUUUUUGUCACUUUAUAUAAUGUUGAAAGAGUUGUCACAUGGAUUCAUGUCUUUUUACAUGCCAACUUGAGUAGAUCUUUUUGGCAAGAUAUUUGUCCAUGGAUGUUUAUUUCUUUACAUUCUUGGCUAGUUGGUCUCAACUUUUGGGGUCAUUUUCUUUUAAGAGCAAAGCAUAUGGGAGUUUUUUAUUAUACUUGCAUGAGUGUUAGUUAGGUUCUUUACACAAUCGGAAUAGAAGCUUACAUGAUCAAACACAUAGUUUAGUGAGAAAUGGAGGAAGCAAUAAGGCAUGUGCAAACUUCAUCAACUAUUCCUAUCAUUGGAAUCCUUUUACCCUUAAGAGGCGGUUGGUAUGUGGAGAGUGAAUCACUUUACAGGGAUUUUAAUUAAUGGGAAGGACUUUGCACCGUUUGGUAUGUGAAGUUGUUGGGAAUGUAACUUUACAUUGGUAUCAAAUUGAACCCAUGAGAAGGAAAGUGAUUCCCUUUUGAAUUGGAAGGAAUGUUACUUUCCCUUGAUUGAGGGAAAGUAAAUUGGACCAAAAUGACAAAAAUGUUGGGAUGAGCCUUGCAGCCAAUUGGGAUUGGUUAAGGCUUGAUUCCAAUCAUGCAACAGUAUCAUUCAUAUUGAAUGAUUAGAGGUUUUCCUUCAUCAAUAAGACAUCAAUUAUAAUGAGUUAUAAGUCUAAUUGGAUGAAGUCCAUGAGAUUAAUAUACCUUGCAAGGAAACUAUAAUGGGUUGCAGUUAUAAGAUUCUUAUGCAUAAAGCAUAAUCUCAAAAUGUUCGUGGUCAAUGUAUCAUUGAGACUGGGCAUCAAUGAUGCUUAGAGAUUGGUAUGUUCUAUGUUCCUUACUUUGGAAGAAAGCAAUCGAUCUCAAGAUUGAAGUAUAGAGAUACUUGGAACUAGAAUAUAGGUGCUUGCCUAGGAGAGCAAUUUCAUUGAACAUGACCCGCCAUGAGAAGUGUAUUUGGUAAUACACUCUAGUGUUUAUGCAACACUUCUCAUGUAUCAGUUGUGUAAAUACUCCCUAGACUUGAGACACCAGGUUGUUUUAUGUGUGGAGUGUUAUGCUUUGAUUCAUCCCCAUGGGUGCCUAACCAAGGAUGCAAAAUAGGAUUUUUUUGGGUAUAGUAUGAAGCAUGUGAAGGUAAAUGAGUGUUCAAGAUAAAAAUCAUCACCUCAAGUGUGUUAGAGGACAUAUCCUAUUAGUUCUUAGUUAACAUUAGCUUAUUGAAGUCCUUGGCCAAGGCGACAUGGAGAUUAUGAAAAAGGAUUCAUAACUUUCUAUAAAGCUAAUGCUAUAAUUGCAGGAACAAAUAUGGAGGUCAAAAAGAGUAGACACUGUACCAAGCUCUUAUCAUCUCCGGGAUAUAUGAUGAAGGAAUGAAUUACACUAAUAUACUGUACACUGAAAGGUUGUCAAAGAACCCUUUGACUCUCCCAACAAUUGGGUGGCCAUAAUGCAUUGCUAGAUGCCAAUCUUGGUCUAUGGAAAUGAUAUAAAUUAAUUGAUUGAAAUUUAUAUUAAUCAAUUAAGUCAUUAAUCAAUUCCAUUGCCAACAUGUUGGGAACCUAAUGGGUCACACACAAUGAUUGUAUUUGAAUUAAAUUGAGAGAGUUAUGAUUUAAGUUAGACUUAAAUCACAUGCUAAGUAAUCAACUUCUAUAAACUUAAUUAAACUCUUUUAAUUAAGUUUUAGGCAUAAUUAUAAAUAACUAUAAUUAUAAGCCCUUGAUUGCAAAAUAUAAAGGAAAUUAAUUUUGAUUUUAAUUUUCAAGGACUUAAUUAAAAGAGUUUAAUUAAGUAAUGGGCCCAAUAUUAUAAUGUGUUAUAAUAUUGAGGGCUUAAUUGCAAAAUUGAAGUUAUUUUAACCUAACUAUAUAAGUCACCUUUUAACUAUUUUCAUAUGAGAGUUUUUCACAAUUGAAGAAAACGAGUUUUUGUCAGAAAAGAAAAACAUUUUCUUCUUUGCCACCACUCCCUUUGUGUGAAAGAGAAAUUUGCUUAUGAAGCAAUUUUUAAGAAAGGUUUGGCUAAGAUUGUGAAAAAGAAGAAAAGGGCAAUUGUUGUCCUUUUUGCUAGCACAAAAUAUAGUUAAAAACUCCUUCCUUUGUUGAAGGUUCAAGUGCAAUCGUGUGUACUACCAUUGGAGGCCAAGCACUUGAUUGGCUAGGGUUUUUGCUCCUUGUGGUGUUCGCGGGAUUGCUUCGGAAAGUGCCAUCGUGAUUACAAAAUUACAUGGCAAGGUAACUUUCUAAAUAAUAAUUUAUUUUGUGCUUUUAUGUGUUAAAUAUCACCAAGGUGAUCCAUGGGUGGAGGCAUGUCUUGAUUGUUUAGUUAUAAAUUUUAAUUUUCUUUCCACUGCGUAUUUUGAGCAUGCCGUUCAUAGCCAUCCCAUCAAAAAAGCCCCACAAGCUGAACUUUUUCGAGAAGAGAAGGGGCACCAUUUGAAUCUAGUGAUGGGAGCAAGGACGAAGGAGAAAGAAAAAGGACGAAAAGAAGAAGAACCCAUCACUAGAGUGCAAGGAGGAAUGAGAGAAAAAAAAAGAAAAAAAAAGGAAGAAGAGCCCAUCACUAGAGAGUAAUAAGGAAUGAGAGAAGAAAAAGAAAAAAAAAAGGAAAAGUCCAUUAGAAAGGACGAUGGGUGCAAGAAGAAAUAAGAGAAAAAAAUGAAAGAAAGAAAAAAAAAAGAAAAGGGUGGAUUGUGUGGCAAUUUAACUAAUUAAUUAAUAUUUUUAUAAAAUAAUUUAAAUUAAUGAAUUUAAUUCUUUAAAAUUUAAUUAAUUUAUUAAAAAUAAAUAUUUAAUAAUUUUACUUUUUUAAUAUUAAAUAAUUAGUAUUAAAAUAUUAUGUUUUUAUACAAUUAUUUAUUAUUUUAAGAAAUAAAGUUGAAAAAAUAAAAAAAAUUCAUUAAAAAAGAAUAUAGGUUAUUCAAAUGUAUAUUUUCAUACAUAAGGAUAAUUUUGUAAAUUUAUCCUACAUUCCCAGUAAAGUGCUUCUAAACCAAACACUACAAUGUAAUCACAUUUUUAACAAUCAUCACUUUCCCAUGUUAUACCAAACGCUACAAAAUUAUCUUCCCAGCAAUAAUAUUCCCAGCAAUCACAUACCUAGUAAUCACACUUCUAGUAAAAUACCAAACACAACCUUAAUGUCUUCAAUGUUAAUGUGGAUGCUGCUUUUUUUGGAAAGGAUGAGUCUAUUAGUUUGCUAAUGCUGGUGCUUGGCUUUGGUGGUAAUAUUUAGCUAUAUGCUCUGCAAGAAUUUCCCAUUCAAUAGACUUUCUCAUGUACAGAUGCGUGCUACCUUGUUAAGCUUAAAGUUGGCCUAUCAUCAUGAUUCUAGUUAGUGGUAAAUUCAAGAUUUUACAUGGGAUAGCUAAAAGUUAUUCAUAUAAGAUCAUAAAUCAAGUCAAUAAUUUGAUUCGAAAUAAAAAAUGAAUUACUUUUAAAAUAAAAUUAAAUUAUAAAAUAAAAUUUCAUAACAAUGUAAAUAUAAGUUUUCAAAUUUACCAAUAUAAAUAGACAUAAAACAAAAAAAAAUUAAAUUGUCACAUUAGGUAUCGUAAGUGUUGGCUCUAUUAGUUUUUGAUGAUAAUAAAACAUUCUCAUUCAUUUGUGUUUAAUAUUUCUACUUGAGUGUGCAGGACAAGAAUUGUAUGCCAAUGAUAAAUAAAUUAUUCCAAGAGACAUAUAAAAAAUUAUAUGUAUAAGAAGCCACAAUUAAUCAACAAAAUAAAAGCUCCUUAGUUGAAUAAUAAAGGAUUAGUUAGCUAAAAUUUAAAUAAGAAGUUGGCGGGUUCAAGAGUAUUGAGAAACAUAAACGACUUAGUCAACCAAGAAAUAGGUUAGUCGACUAAGAGUCUACUACCAGAAAUCUGGACUUCAAGACAAAACCAACUUAAUCCACUAAGAAGAAAGUUAGUUGACUAAGUGCUCACUACCAGAAGCAAAGAACAGAAGACAAAAAUAACUUAGUUGACUAAGAUAUCUGUAGUCAACUAAGAGCAUUUCGCCAGAAAAUUUGAAUUGUGCACUAGAAGACAGAUUAACAGCUAGAAUUGCAACAAAACUGUUUCCAACUGUUAAAAACCGCCUAACACCUAUUAGAGUUGAUUUUCCAAGUAUUUAAGAGGAUUCCAACAGCUAGAAAUGUAAUUAAGGCUUCCAAGUCCAAAAGAGCUAAAAAAAACCAGCAAAUACUCUCUGCUCAUUUACUGCACUCAACUUCUAUCUUUGUAAUUGUGAUAUGCACUUCACUUUGUACCACUUAGAUCAGCCUUGUGAUCAUAGGAACACUCUUAUCACUUCUCUCCUUGUAUUCUUAGAGUGAGCGGGUCACUCUAAGGGAUUGAUUUAAGCUAGGAUUGCUUGAUUAAGUAUAGGUUCUAACUUAGCCUUGAAAAGUUAAGUGUUGAGUUUUAUUUGAUCUUGGUAAAAACUAUUGUGAAAGGUUUUGGCUAAGCCUGGUAAAAGCCAUUGUAAAAGCUCGGUGAAAGCUUGUAAAUUUCACCAUUCUUAAUAGAUUGAUUGGAAAAUCCUUAGUUGAACAAUCAAGGUAGUGGAUGUAGGUCUUAGACUGAACCACUAUAAAUAUUUAUGUAUUAUCUCUACUAUUUUAGUUUGUCAUUCAUCUUUAAAUUUCUCUUUUAUCUUGCUUUGGUCCUCAAUUUGAAAGUAACCUUUGUAAAGAGCCAAGAAAGUGUUAUUCACCCCCCUCUAGCACAUUCAUUUGGGACCAACAAGUGGUUUCAGAGCAAGUUCCCUGUUCUUAAGGUCUAACACCAUUUGGGAAAAUCCAAAUGGCUCUUCAAAAAUCAACAGUGGCUGAGGGAUAAUCAAUAAAUAGACCACUUCUAUUUGAUGGCUCAAAUUACCCAUAUUGGAGUAUUAGGAUGUCAAUAUAUAUUAGAGCAAUAGAUUAUGAGAUGUGGGAUGCCAUAACUGAUGGUCCCUUUAUUCCUUCAACCUUAAAUGUUGCAACCAACGAGAUGAUUCCUAAACCAAGGUCUGAAUGGACCGAAGCUGAAACUAAAAAAGUCUAAACAAACUUUAAGGCAAUCAAUACACUGCAUUGUGCUUUAAAUCCCACUGAAUUCAAUAAAGUGUCAAGCUAUACCACAGCUAAACAAGUGUAGGAUAAACUUAGGAUUAUUCAUGAAGGGACUUCACAAGUUAAGGAGUCCAAGAUAGCCCUCUUAACCCACAAUUAUGAGAUGUUUAAAAUGGAACCUGGUGAAGAUAUCACUAGCAUGUUCGAUAGAUUCACAAACAUCAUAAACAAAUUAACUCAGCUAGGCAAACCAAUUCCUAAGCAUGAAAUCAUUAAAAGACUUCUUAGAAGCCUACCAAAAAAUUGGAAGCCAAAAGUGACUAUUAUCCGUGAAGCUAAGGACUUAAAUGUUAUAACUCUAGAUGAAAUUUGUUGUUCUCUUCUUACUCACGAGCUGAAAAUCAAGGAAGAGGAAAAUGAAGACAAAAGAGAAGCAAAGGAAAAGAAGAAAAAUAUUGCCUUAAAAGCCAGUAUCCUUGAAGAAGAAUUGGAUAGUCUAUCUUGUGAUGAUGAUGAAGAGCUGGCUAUGGUUACAAGAAGGUUCAGAAAACCUAUGGGCCAAAGAAACCGAAGAUUGGCUAGAAUAGGGUAUAAAAGAUAACAUGGCUCUUCAUGGAAAACCAAAAAUAAAAAUGAGUCCAAUAAGAAGGAAGAGCUUAUAUGCUUUGAAUACAAGAAGCCAGGACAUUUCAAGUCUGAUUGCCCCAUGCUAAAGGAGGAAACUCCAAAGAAAAAUAGAAAAUCAAAGAAGGCAAUGGUGGCUGCUACUUGGUCAGAUAAUGAUACUUCAAGUUCUGAUGAUGAAGAAGAAAAGGUGGAAGAAAGAGCUAAUCUGUGUCUGAUGGCAAGGGAUGAUGAAUCUGAGGUAUCUUCAUCCCCUUGAGAUAUUUCAAUUGAUGAAUUACAAGAGGAGUAUGAAUGUCUUUAUGAUGAAUUUGAAAAACUUGCAUCAAAAUACAAAACUUUGAAACGAAAAACUGCAUCACUUGAAACUGAUUUGCAAAAGAUAAAACAUGACGUGAAUUCUGUUUUUGAGUAAAAAAAUUUCUCCAAAUUGAAAUAGAGCAUUCAAAAAUAGAUUUUGAAACUCUAAAAUUUGAAUUGGAAAACAAAAUAAAAGCCUUGCAAAAGGCAGUUAAAGAAAAUGCUGAUCUUAAAAGUUUGAAGAAAGAAACAUCAAAGAGGAGCAUAUACUUUAAGAAAAAUUCUGAUAAUGCCUCAUCUAGAUGUUACAAUUGUGGAAAAUUUGGACAUUUAUCUUAUGACUUCUAUAGAGAUAGAAGCAUACAGAAAACAAGAAAAAUUUGGGUUCCAAAAAGAUCCUAUAUUGCAGCUAACCUUCAAGGACCCAUCAAAAUGUGGGUACCUUUUAAGAAAAACUAAAAAUCCGUUUCGUAGGUUGAGUUGAAUCUAAAAGACACAUGUUCAAGAGCUCAACUAAAGAAGAAGGAACCAUGGUUUAUGGAUAGUGGUUGCUCAAAGCACAUGACUGGAAACGAAAUGUCGUUUACUCAGCUGGACAAGAAAAAGAGAGGUACCAUUUUCUUUAGUGAUGAUUCAAAAGGUAGAAUUUAUGGUAUUAGAACCAUUGGUAAGAACUCUCAAGCUCGAAUUAGUCAUGUGUUGCUGGUUAAAGGUUUGAAACACAAUUUAUUGAGUAUCAGCCAACUAUGUGAUAAAGGUUUAAGGUAUGCUUUGACUCAAAAAAAUGUGAAGUGAUAGAUAUAAGUACUAAUUGUUAGCUUUAAAUUAUUAUAGUUUUGAUUAUGACAAAAUGAUCAAAUUUGCUUGAACAUUAUUUGAGUAAUCUUUGACAAUUUCUUGAAAUGAUUUAACUCCCAUAUAUUUGUUCUUACAUAGACACAAGCUUAACUCUUGAAGUUAUUGAACUAUAUCUAUAAGCUUGUAUGACUUAGGUAUAUUAGUGCUUAUGAUUCUCAUUCAUUAAAGUUUGAUUUAAAGAUUAAAAGAAAAUCUUGAUGCACUCAUUAAGGAGGAGUUUUGAAUGUCUUGUUUAAUGAUGAAAAAGAAAAAGUAGAGAAAGAAGACUAAAUCAAAUAAAGUUAAAUAGGUCUUCAUGUUUAAUUUAUGUGUGUAAUACUCAAUUUUGGUUUUGUUGAAUAUUAUGUAAAGAAAAAUAGAUGCAUUGACUAAGGGGGAGCACUUCAUUAUGCAUAAAGAUUUGAAGCAUUCAUAUUGAACAUAGACAUUGCACUCUUAAUCUAUGAGUGUUUUGUCAUCAUAAAAAAUAAGAGAUAGAGAAUGUUGACUCUAUAUGUUUUUUAUGAUAGCAAAAUAUUCCCUUUCAUAGAUGUCUAAUUAUAUUGUUUAAGUGUGCAGGACAAAAAAUAUAUGCCAAGAAUAAAUCAAUCAUUCAAAGACACAUAUCAAAAAUCAUAUGAAUAAGGAGCCCCAAUUGAUCAAUAAAACAGAAGCCUUUUAGUUGGAUAAUGAAGGGUAUUAGUCAGCUAUAAUUUAAAUUAGAAGUUGGUGGGGUCAAAAGGACUAAGAGACAGAGAAGACUUAGUCAACCAAAAAGUAAGUUAGUCGACUAAAAGCCUACUGCUAGAAAUUUAGACUUCAAGACAGAAACAACUUAAUCGACUAAAAAGGAAGUUAGUCGACUAAAAGCUCACUGCCAAAAACUAGGUUCAGAAAACAAAGACAACUUAGUCAACUAAAAGCGUAGUUAGUCGACUAAGAUCACUCUGUCAAAAAAUUUGAAUUGAAUACUAGAAGACAAAAUAACAGCUAGAAACAGCUAGAUUCUGUCUUCAACGGCCAGAAUUGAUUUUGCAAGUAUUUAAAGCCUCUCCAAUAGUCAAAAAGAAGAGACAGAAACCAUCCAUAGUGAUUUGAGCUUAGAAGACCAAAAACCUUCUCUUUACACUUGUAUUUCACUUCCAUCCUUUGAAAAAGUGUUUGAGCUUAGCUUUGUACAUCUUAGAUCAGCUAGGUAAUCAAUUGUACUUAAUCUUUUCUUCAUUUCUCGAUUACUUAGAGGUUACGUUUGGUUGGCAAAAUAGACAAGAAUGGAAUAGAGUAGUUAUUAUGUGGUAAUAGAAUGAGGUGAGAAUAGAAUAGAAUAGUUAUUGCUUAGUUUGGUACGACAAAGAGAAUAGGACAAGAAUAAUUAUUAUGACUUAUUGUAGUGUUUGGUUGGUAAUAAUAAUUUUGGAACAAGAAAGGAAUAAAAAAUAAAAAGAUAAAAACACCCUUUAUUAUUUAUAUGACUAUUUAUUUUUAUUAGAUUUUUUAAAUAUUAAAAAUCUAGAAUUUAAUUAAAACAUUAAUAAUUAGUAAUUUAAAUAUUAAUAUUUUCUUUUCUUUUUUUUUAAAUAUUAAUAAUUGAUAAUUUAAAAAUUAAUAUUUUAUUCAUAAUUUAAUUAUUUAUAUUUUAAAAUGUUAAUAUUUUAUUUAAUUAAAAUAUUAUUAUGAUCAAUUAUUUUAUUUUAUUUUAUUUUUAAGAAUCAAUAAUUGAUUAUUUAUUUAAAAUAUUAAUAAUAGAUCAUUUAAAUAUUAAUAUUUUAUUAAUAAUUUAAUCAUUAAUAUUUUAUUUAAUUUAAAUGUUAUUAUUAAUUUUUAUUUUAUUUUAUUUUUUAAAUAUUAAUAGUUGGUAAUUUAUUUAAAAUUUUAAUAAUUGAUUAUUUAUUUAUUAAUAUUUUUUUAUAAUUUAAAUGAUAUUAUGCUUAUUUAUUUUUAUUUUAUUUUAUUUUUAAAUAAGAAUAAUUUAUAAUUUAUUUUAUUAAUAAUUGAUAAUUUAAAUAUUAAUAUUUAACUUAUAAUUUAAUAUUAAUAUUUUAAAAUGUUACUAUUUUAUUAAAAGUUGGAAUCAAAGGAGAGAAAGAGGAGAGAGAGAAAAAUAAUAUUUUAUACAAAUAAAGUUGUAAUUUUUUAAAGGGGUAUUUUUGUCUUUAUUAUUUUUUGAGUUUAUUCCUCAACCAUGGAAUAGCUAAUACCAUGAGGGAGGGUGGCAUUAGCUAUUCCUUAGUUUUAGAGGAUUUUGAAGAAUAACCAUUCCUAUGGAAUGGCUAUUCCUUGGACUAUUUUUCAACUAAAUAGAGGAAUCAAAAUUCCUUGGGAAUAAAAAGGGAAUGGCUUAGCCAUUCCCCCAACCAAACAUGCUAAGAGUGUGCAAGGCAUUCUAAGGGAUUUACUCAAGCUUGGAUUGCUUGAUUGAGUGUAUAGGUUCUAACUUAGCCUUGAAAAGUUAGUUGUUGGGUUUUGGUUGAUCUCGUGAAAAACCAUUAUUGUAGGUUGUGGUUGAGCCUUUGAAAAAUCACUUUAGGUUUUGGUUGAGCCCGUGAAAAACCAUUGUGAAAGGUUGUGGUUGAGCCUUUGAAAAAUCACUUUGGGUUUUGGUUGAUCCCGGUAAAAACCAUUGUGAAAGGUUUUUGCUAAGCUUGGUAAAAGCCAUUGUAAAGCUUGGUGAAAGCUUAUGAAUUUCACCGUUCUUAGUGGAUUGAUUGGAAAAUCCUUUGUUGAACAAUCAAGAUAGUGGAUGUAGGUCUUGGAUCGAACCACUCUAAAUUCUGCUGUGUUAUCUACUCUGUUUUUGUUCUUAUUUUCAUUCCUUCUUUUCACUUGCAUUUGUUCUCACUUAGAGCUAAUUUUUGAAAGAGUCAAAUUGUGCUAUUCACCCCACUCUAGCACAUUUACUUGGGACCAACAAGUGGUAUCAAAGCCUAACUCUCAUUUUUAAAGCUUAACAUCUUUAGGGGAGAUCCAAAUGGCUCUAGAAAAAUCUGUUGAUGCUGAGGGUCAAUGCAUUAAUAUGCCUCUUCUAUUUGAUAGAUCAAACUAUCAUUAUUAGAGUACUAGUAUGUCCAUUUAUAUUAAGGCUUAUGACUAUGAGAUAUGAGAUAUCAUUAGCGAUGGUCUUUUCAUUCCUAUGAUUACAAAUUCGGUAAAUGGUGAGAAAACUCCCAAAGAUAGAAAUAAGUGGACUAAAACUGAAAUGAGAAGAGUACAAAUGAACUCUAAAGCCAUGCACACUCUCAUUUGUGCACUUGAUUAUAGAGAAUAUGAUAAAGUGUUCAUGUGCAAAAGUGCCAAGGAAAUUUGGCAAAAAUUAAAAGAGUUAUAUGGAGAAACAAAGAUGCAAAAGGAAUUAGAAGACAACUCUUAUGAGAAUCAAUGCUCAACAAGCAACAUGGCAAAUGCAAAUAAGGAAUCAAGUGAAGAUGAAUCCUCAAAUCAAAUUGAAUUACGCCUCAUGGCUCUUAAAGAGAUAAAGGUAAGUUCUUCAUCUUGUGAACUUAAUUCAUAUGCUUUUGAUGAAUUGCAUGAUGUUUUUGAUGAAUUGCAUGAUGCUUUUAAAGAUUUAGCAUUUGAGUUUGAGAAAAUGAAUAUGAAGCACAAGAAAAUUAUUUCCAUACUCGAUGUUGAGAAUGAAUUUUUUAUGAAAGCAAAAAUUGACUUGGAAAAAGAAAAUGAAAAUUUGGAAAAGGAUUUUGAAGCUUACGAAAAGAAAAUUGAUAUUUUGGAAAAAGGAAAUUUGAAGAUUUAUUAAAUGAGAAAAAAAAAAGGCUUGCAUGAAUUCCUCAUCUUCCAAAAUGACAAAAUGCAAUCAUUGCACAUUUUUUCGUUAUUAUUCAUAAACUUGUCCAAUUAAAAAUAUUUACCUUAUAAAUUUAGACAAGUGUGGGUUCCAAAAGGAACUUUAUGCAACAAAACUAACUUUCAAGGAUCCAAAGUAAUUUAGAUACCAAAAAUCAAAUGAAAAAUGUCUUUUGUGGGUGUGCUAGAGCAAGAAGGAACAACUCUUGAAGAAUGAAUGCUCUCAAAUCACACAUAAAGGAAAAUGGGUGAUUUUUAUGCUAAAAUUUUUUUAAAUGAGAAUCUUGAUUGCUUAUUUAUUGAAUGUUUCAUUCAUUUGGCUUGGUUUCUAAAAUUGUUUCCUUUUCUACAUUGAAAAUUUUGGUUGCCUAUUCUUGCUUGAAUAUUAAGUGCAUAAUUCCUUGAGCUUUAUUGAUAAAUCUUGGCUAUGCAACUUGAUUUGAUAUGAUACAUGCUAUAAGUUGCAAGGAAGUAUGAAUCUAAAGAUGGAGUAUGUACUUAUAUUUGAUCUUGAAUAUAUCAUCAUCCUUAUUUUGAGAAAAUAGUUUUAUUAAGAUUUCUUGAUUAUGGAAAAUUUGUUUCUAUAAAAUUUCCUCAUAUUUUGUGAAAUUAUUUCCAUACUACUUCUUUAAGGAAAAAUGAUUUUUGAGCAUAGUUUUGAAACAUAAAGGUUGGAUAAUGUGAUAGAAAUAUGAGCAUACUUGAUGACUUACACUCACACUUAUUCAAGUAGCCUAAAACGAAGAAAAUUGAGUUAAAAAAAUUGUCCUUGAUUUCCUUGUGGCUAACAUAAGUUGACCAUUUGAACAAUCUUGAUUUACAUUCUAGAACUUGCUUGAUUAGUUCAAGAUGGUUGACAAUGAGCUUGAAAAUUUUGACUACCUUAAUUGGUACUUUUAAAGCAAAAUGAGCUUAUAUGAGAAAAAUGUUGCCAUCCUUAAGUUUAUAAUGAUUUAUCAAUUGGAUAAGUUUGUUUCAUGAUGAAAGUACUUAUUGACUUGUUCUUAUUGGAUGUGCAUGCUCGCUUGUAAGCUUGAAUGGUCAUAAGGGCAUUUUUGGUACAUGAUUGUGAGAUAUUUGCAAAUGACCCUUGAUAUAAUACCUCAUACUUUGAUAUGGUGACUAAUAAAGCUUAUUGGAUGCCAAUUGAGGGUAAUUAUGAUGUUUAGAAAUGAUGAAAGAUGAAAGGAAUAGUUUGGGAUAAAAUAUUCCGCACACGAGAAAAUAAUAAUAAAAUAAUGAUAUUUUUAUCAAAAAAAAUUUGCAAGAUAAAAAGUGAUUCGGAAGUCAAUUGACGCAUAAUAAGGUAUUUUGGGUACCAAAGGGACAAGAGGAGACAAGAGGAAAUUUUUAAAAUAAAAUAAUAUUAAAAUAUUAUUAUUUUAUUCAGUGUCAAAAUUUUUCAUGAAGAAAGAGUAUAUGGUCAAUCUAAGUGGGGGAGAAGAAGAAUGAAAGAAAUUUCGAAGAAAAAUUACGUUAAUGGGGCCUACGUGUAUUCAUUAAAUAAAGAUAGCACGAGGUAAAUAAUAUUUUAAAUAUUAUGGGAACACCGCGUUGGGGUACAAACUUUAUAUUUCAUUUGUACAUAUGUAAAAGAAGAUAAUAGAAGAAAAUUGGAGAUUUAAAGAUUUUGGGAUGACUUAAUUAAAAGGAUGAGAACCUUGAAGGGUAAAAUAGUAAUUUUGUUACAAAGCUUGGUCAAAGCUUCUAAAGGAAGCUUUGACUCUUCUUUUUGUUCCUCAUGGCCGGCCAUCCAUGUAAGAAUUGCUGAAAAUGUAAGGCUUAUGUACAAAGAACGUAAAAGACAAAGAAAAUGAGGAGAAAAGAUGAGACAAUAGUGAAAUAGGGAGGAAAAGUCAAGUAAAGUGGCUUUAAAGGUUCCAAGCAAUUGUUGACUUGCAUUCUAACCACAUAGCGGGUCAAGGAAGACAAUAAAAGAAGAAUGAAUGAUGGUAUGGGCAGUCACAUGUGAAAGAAAUGAAAGAAAUAGAGAAUUUACAAGCAAGCUUUGUCAUUGUCGACCCCACUUGCAAACCAAAUCAAACAAAGUUUUAUCAAUUUCUUUUGUUACCAACCGGUUAUGGAGACUAGUUAUGGAGACAAAAGAGAGAGUCAAGUUAUUAGUAUUUUAUUUUAAAUCAUGUGUGAAAGUAAGGGGGGCCAACCAUUGAGAUGAAAGGCCAUAUAAAAGAAAAGAAAUGAAUGAAAAAUGAAAAAUGAAAAAUAGAAAAGAUAAGAAAGAAAUGAAAUGAAAAGUUAAGUCGGUUAAGUGAAGAAGAAAAAGGAAAGAGAGAAGUCGGUUGUGAGGGAGAGCAAAAGAAAAGAAAAAGAACAAAGGAAAGAAAAAAGAGAGAAAUAGUCGAGAGAGAGAAAAAGAAAGAAGAGAAAAGCCAAAUGGUGAGGAAGAAAAAAAAAAAAAAGAAAAGGAAGGGUGAAGAAGCUGAGUUGAGGAGACGGUUUUUCUGCCAUUUAGGGAAGAAAGAAGUAGUUGUGGCUGCUUAUUUUUGGAGGAAGAAUAGAGCAGCUUGGUUGCUGAUUCUGAGGUGGAUAUGAGCAGCUUUGGCUAUUGAAAAUUUUUGGUUGAAAGAAGCAAGAACUUGUUACCGGCGGUGAGAGGGAGAGAGAAGAGGAAAUUGUGGCCAGCUUGUGCAUGUAAGAAAGGAAAAAGAAAGACAAGUAGAGUGCUACUGACCGACGGGAGAGAGGAGAAAGAGAAAGAAAGAAAGGAACGAGAAAGGAAUAAAAGAAAAGAAAAAAAAAUAUGGGCAUAGCCCUAUAAGAAAAGAGUGGGCAUGGCCCAAUAGGAAGAAAUUGGAAGAGCCCAUGGAAAGGGCCCAAUGGAAAUAAGAAAAGAAAAGUCCAAAAUAGAAAAGGAGGAUUGAGACUUGGGCCAUCUAGCCCAAUUUAGAAGUGCUUAAGUGAAGAUAGUGCACUAUAGUUGCGUGCUAGAGGAAAUGACGAGCGACCGGCAAGUAGAAAUAGCGAUGUAAUACCCCGCUAUUGUGAGGUGAGUAGGGGGUGUAAAUUUUAAAAUUUUCGUAAAUAUGUACCUAUACGUAUGAUUUAUUUUAAACGUGAAAAUUUUGAAUAGCAUGUGCUGGUAACAAUCUUAGGAAAUUGUGAUUGCAAAUUAUGUUUAGAAGUCGUCUCGAAUAUAUAUAUAUAUGUAUAAAUUAUAUGUAAAGUAUUUUGAAAAUCGAGAAACAAGCCCUUCACACUGUUUUACCUUAAAAUCUGUGCCUUAUAUUUGUGCAGUGUGCAUUUAUGAUUAUAUUGUUUACUCACCAUGCAAAUCACUAUUUGAAAUUCAUGCAUAAAUUUUAUUUUGAGAAAAUGAUAGAUUUUAUAAGACCCAAUAUUUGACGUUUUGAAAAUAAUUCGGCAUGAAUUUUCAAGGACGCAAUGUAAAUUUUUUUAAAAAUGUUUUGGACAAAUCGAGAGCAUCGAGAGUAGGCCGAAUGUCACAUCAAUUAAGUGUGACCCUCGUGCACGAGUGAGCUCUAGCUAGAGAACCAUUGGGUCACUGACGGGCGGUUAGGCGUGGUUGGGGCCACGGCUUGUGAUAUAUGUAUGCAUGGCUAAGCCACCAGAUGAUUACACGAUUACGACCGCUUGAUAUCUCCGAUGUUGGCCAAUAUCGUUGAGAUCGCCAUGGCAUAUGGGAAUCCGGUGGAAGCGAUGCUUCCGGAUGUUAUUACGUGGUAGCGGGACCAUGAGUUUAUUUUCAUUCCCUACUCGAGAGUGGCAUCUCUGGGUUUUUAAACUCAUAUUUCUUUGCAUGGUGAAAGCAAAAUUUAACGGUUUUUCUGUAGCUCCCCUAUUUUAUGGUGAAAUGAAUUUUAACUCCUCGAGUGCGAGGUGAUUUAUGAUUUACGUAUGAGUUUGAUUAACAUUCAAUUUCAUGGGAGCUUGCCGAACAUAUUGAUUUGAUUUGAGUAAAAUGUCAAUUGAUAUUGACGAUGAAAUUUUCUUUAUGUAAAAUUGUUUUAAUUCAAUAUUUCAAAUGAUUGUCUUGAAUAAGGUUAUUUGUGAGACCUCAACCUCUAUAGGCCUGUAACUAAGUAUAGAUGUAAUAAUACGAGCCAGGGGUAGUUUCGUUAUUUUCUCUAAUAAGCUUUUAGAAAAAAGUUUUAUGAUAUUUUAAGUCUUAAAUGGGUAUAAGACUGCAUAAAUGAUGUGUGCUGAUGAAAACACGAAGAAAACUAGAAGUUUCAACAAUUUUCAUAACAGGGGCAAAGUGGUCAUUUUUUACCUUGGGUUAAAAUUUUACGUUUUUAUGAACCCGAACAUGUCUAGACCCUUAUGGAUCUUGUCCCAGUGUUAAAAGAGCAAAAAGAUUGCAUAAAAGAUUGGAGGAGAAUAAAAUAAUUGGUGGAAGGGUAAAUUGGUAAUUUUAUGAGAAAAGAUAAGAUUGCCUAUAAAUACCUUGAAUUUCCAGCAGCUUCUUGAAUUUUCCAGCAGCUGGUCUUCUUCUUCCCUUCUCCUCUCUCACGUUUCUUUAAACUCCAUGGAAGCUUGAUUUUCAAACUUCCACAACUUUCUCUCUCUAGCUCCAAUUUUCAUGCUUUUGGUGCACCCUUCCAUAAACCCUCGUGCUAUUUCAUCUCCUUACUUUAAAAAUCUUGAAAUAUCUUGUUUUCAUACUUUCUCUCACUAUUUGGAAAUUCUAGAGUGAGAAAGAGAGAAUCACUCUAUUGAUUUGGAAGCUAUUGGAAGAGAAUCCAACUACAAAGGAACCCUAAGGUGAGUGAUGCACCAAGUUUGAUUUUUAGCUGCAGAAAAUGGCUAGUAAUUGUGAUUUAUGAGUUGUUUUAUUGUUUAGUAUGUUUAUUACUUUUUAGUGAUUAAGAUAGUGAACAUAGAUAGCCAUUUAAAGUGGCAAUUGAAAACUAGCUAAGAGAUAGCUUUUAGAGUUCAUAGUGUGUAAGUUGAUCUAUUGCUUAUGUUAAUGUGAUCCUAGGUUUUUAAGGAAGCACCAUCAUUCCAAUUGGAUCAUUAGGGGAAUUUGAGUCAACUAAAAGUUCUACAAUCAAUUGGUGACUGGACUACCUUUAAAACUGAUUUUGGGAAUAUGAUGGAUUUGACAAAGUGUUUGAAUGAUUUUAUAAAAUUUUUCAUGAAAAUGAAUGCCUUGGGAACAAGCUUUUGAGAAAACGUUUAUGUUAUGAAAUGUGAUUAUUAUGGAUUUCUAUGUGGCUGUAUUAUGUUGAUAUACAUAUAUGCUUGAGUAUAAUGUUGUGUAAUUAUAUUGACUCGGCUAUGUGCGAGUAGGGAGUGCGCAUAACCCAGUGAUGACCUAGCCAUGUGCGAGUAAGGAGUGCGCAUGAGCUGGUGAUGAUGAUGAUGGGUAUAUAUGUGUAUAUAUAUAUAUAUAUAUAUAUAGUNAUUGUUUGCUUUUCUACAUUGAAAAUUUUAGUUGUCUAUUCUUGCUUGAAUAUUAAGUGCAUAAUUCUUUGAGCUUUAUUGAUCAAUCUUGGCUAUACAACUUGAUUUGAUAUGAUACAUGCUAUAAGUUGCAAGAAAGUAUGAAUCUAAAGAUUGAGUAUGUACUUAUAUUUGAUCUUGAAUAUGUCAUCAUCCUUAUUUUGAGAAAAUUGUUUUAUUAAGAUUGAUUGAUUAUGGAAAAUUGUUUCUAUAAAAUUUCCUCAUGAUUUAUGACAUUGUUUACAUACUACUUCUUUGAGGAAAAAUGAUUUUUGAGCAUAAUUUUGAAACAUAAAUGGUUGGAUGAUAGAAAUUUGAGCAUACUUGAUGACUUACACUCACAACUAUUUAAGUAGCCUAAAACAAGGAAAAUUAAGUUAAAAAAAAAAUUUCCUUGUGUCUAGCAUAAGUUGACCAUUUGAACAAUCUUGAUCUACAUUCUAGAACUUAUUUGAAUAGUUCAAGAUGGUUGAUAAUGAGCUUGAAAGUUUUGACUACUUGAAUUGGUACUUUUAAAGCAAAAUGAGCUUAUAUCAAAAAAUGUUGCCAUCCUUUAAGUUUAGAAUGAUAUAUGAAUUGAACAAGUUUGUUUCAUAAUGAAAAAUACUUAUGACUUGUUCUUAUUGGAUGUGCAUGUUCGCUUGUAAGCUUGAAUGGUCAUAAGAGCAUUUUUGGUACAUGAUUGUGAGAUAUUUGCAAAUGACCCUUGACAUGUAUAUACAUGAUUCAUUAUGCCUAUUACUUAUUUCAUAAAUCAUUUAGAGCAUAAUUUAACAAAAUUGAGUGACAUUGAGCUCAUGAUUUUUCACAAAGCAAGUCUAAUCUUGAAUGUUUCAAGUUAAAAGUUUGUAAAGAAAGAUUAAAUCUUUAUCAAUUGAUUUUCUUGCAAAAUCUGUUUAUUCUCUUUGAUUGAAAUUGAUUCAUUGUUUUUGAUGAUAUAGCAUGGUUAAGCAAAAUUGAUUUGAUACAUGAAUUGCAUAAAUCCCAUUUUGCUUGAUAUUUCUCUCAUGAUUAGUGAAAUUGAUUGAAAGGGAUUUCUUAAGCAUGAUUUUGAGUGUGAUAAUUUGGCAUUGAUGGCAUUUUUCAAGCAAAGGAACAAAUCUUCUUGUAAAGCUUGAGGCUAUAAUGAUUUCAAUGAUAUAAAACUUGAACAAGUGUGCUUUUUGUUGAAAAUGCCAUUAUAUCUUGUUCUUGUUGCAAAUGAGUGCUUGAAUAACCAUAAGGGCUUUUUGGUCUAUACAUUGAAAAAUUGAUGAAAAUGUUAAACUUGAUGCUUAUUAUGCCUAACAUUGUUUAAAUACUUGUUGAACAUGUUAUAAGUCAUAGUCACGCAUCAUGAUGUAAAUUGAAUAUGUUUGAGCAUAUUAGAGACAUGAUUCUUCAAAUGAGCAUUUCAACUUUUUAGCACUUGUGAACAAUGAGCAAUAAAAGCUAAAAUUUGAGUUCACAUGUUUUUCUUGAAGAAUCUUUGAUCAUAUAUGUCCAAAAAGAUGUUCCAAACAUGGUUGAAAUGAAAUUCUAAAUUGUUCUCACACAAAUCCAUGUUUUAACAUCAUUAUGCCUCGGAACAUUGCAUGUUUUGCACCUUUUUCUAGCUUUUCAAUAUGCAGGAAUCAAGCAUAAUUGACUCCCUAACAUAGCUAGUAGACUAUUGUAGAACAAAAUGCAAACAAUGCUGCUAGAAUGAUCAAAAGUGGACCUAAGGGAUAUGUAAUCGACUCUUGAGUGCUCUAAAGCCAAAAUGGACAAGUUUUAUGUUCCAAAAUAUUUUUUUACUUUACUUCUUGUCCAUUGCAAUAUUUUCUUCCCUGAAUUUCCUUUUCAAAAAUGAUUCUUGACUCUUAAAAACAUGCAUUAUAAAUAUUUUCAUGAUAAUUUGGUGCAAUUACAUGUUUUUGAAAUUGCUAAACUUGCUGAAAAAUGGGAAAACUUUCUUGAUUGCUUAAAUCUAUCUACUGCCUGUUAGCUUCAAAAUUAUUCUAGUUUUGAUUAUGACAAAAUGAUGAAAUUUGCUUGAAUAUUAUUUGAGUAAUCCUUGACAAUUUCUUGAAAUGAUUUAACUCCCAUACAUUUGUUCCUACAUAGAUACAAGCUUGACUCUCGAAGUUAUUAAACUAUAUCUAUACACUUGUAUGACUUAGGUGUAUGAGUCAUAUGAUUCCUAUUCAUUAAAGUCUAAUUUAAAGAUCAAAGGAAAAUCUAGAUGCACUCAUUAAGGGGGAGUUUUGAAUAUCUUGUUUAAUGAUGAAAAAGAAAAAGGAGAGAAGGAAGACUAAAUAAAAUAGAGUUAAAUAGAUUUUCAUGUUUAAUUUAUGUGUGUGAUGCUUAGUUAUGAUUUUGUUGAAUAUUAUGUGAAGAAAAGUAGAUGCAUUGACUAAGGGGGAGCACCUCAUUAUGCAUAAAGAUUUGAAGCAUUCAACAUUGCAUUCUUAAUCUUGGAAUGUUUGUCAUCAUCAAAAAUAAAAGAUAGAGAAUGUUGACUCUAUAUGUUUUUUAUGAUAGCAAAAUAUUCCCAUUCAUUUGUGUCUAAUGGCUUUACUUGAGUGUGCAAGAAAAUUCAUAUAUGAAAUUAUUUAUUUAACUCUUCAAAGAGUAUAUCAAAAGAAAAAGAGGGAUGAAAAUAACAAAAUGUAACUGUCUAACAAGGAGGAAGCUUGUAAAACCCAACCCUAUAAAUACAUGUCAUGACAUACAUGCAUUGAGUAGCAUGUUAUUAUGUUAGAAAAGCACCUAAGAAUAGACGAAACUCGAUAUUGUACCUAACGGUACACUUAAAUUGAUUUAACCUCGAACUAGUUCAAAUAGGAAUUGUAGGAUAAAAUUUAAUAUUUUAUAGUCCAGGAAUGACUAAAAAUGAUUGUUCGGAGUCCGAGGGUUCAUUUGGGGUAAAAUUAGAAAUUUUGAUAUUCAAGGGCAAAAUCGUCAUUUUGCCACCUAAGAUAAUAAUUUGAUCAUGGAGUGAAAUUUUUGAACAAGAUUAACUAUUUGGAGUAUAAUUUAAUGAUAGGAAGUGAAAAAGUUUAAUUCUUGUGAUUUUUGGAGUGUAGGGGCAAAAUCGUAAUUUUGCCACCCACGGACAAAAUUUGAGAUUUUGAGAGAAUUUAGAUCAAAUUUGACAAAUUGGAGAAUGGUAUGAGUAUAAGGGAUGAAAAAUAUGUCUAUGGGCAAUUUUUCAAUUUUUGGGGCAAAAAUGUAAUUUUUGACUUUUACGGGGGCAAAAGUGUAAAUUUCAAAAAUUACUCCACCGAGACUUUGGAUGAGUCUGAGAAUUUUAUCUAAGCUAUGAAUAUAUGAGACAAGUGUAUGGUGAAAAUUUGGAAACAAAUGGAUGAAAUUUUAAAAAUGGGCCAAUGGGAAAGUGACACGUGGCAUUUUUUAAUGAAAUAAUAUUAUUUUAAUGAAAAGUCAGCCAUUUAAACCCAAAUUUUGAGUGCUGGCCGGCCAUAAGGAAGAAAAAGAGAGGAAAUAGAGAGGAAAGGAAGAAAAAAAGAAAAACCAAAGAGAAACAAGAAAAUUCAAAGGGAAAUUCGCGGUUUUCGACCGUUUACGCGUCUAACGGUAAGAUUUUUCGAUUUUAGCUUGAUUUCUACCUUUCCUAUGCCUUUAUUUCCAUUUAGCAUGCUUGAGGAGAGAGAUCAAAAAGUGAUAUCAAGGGCUGGACGAAAUUCUAGGGGAGAGAAAUUGAAAUUUUUAGGUUUUGAUUUUUAGUUAAAUUGAUAGUUUUAGUUAGUUAAAUGUGUUUAGAAAUUAAAUUGGGCAAGAAAUCAUUAAAUUUUCACAAUACCCACUCUUGGCUGGAUGCUCAAUGCUGUACAAUGAUGAUGAAUUGAUUUUAUUCUAAGGAAAAUGAAGAGAAAAUGAUGAAAAACGAUUAAACGUGAUAGAAAAACAAAGUAGAAAAUUAACCGAGUUAAUGUCCCAUUUUUGGCCGAAUUUUCCAAGGAAGGGAGUGAGCUGAUUUUGUUGUUUUUAGAAGGUUAUUGGCUGAUAUUUAAUGGUUAGAAAUGUUGGAGAGAGAAUGGGAUGAUUUAGAGCUAAAAUGGAGCGCGUUAGCAAUUUAUCGGGCAAAGUGCCAAAAAUAGGUUAAUACCGCGUUUAAGCCGUUUUAGGCUAUUGCAUUUCAUACCAUGCAUUAGUAUAGGAUUUAAGUUAAUUAUAUAGUGAUUUAGCAUCAAUGUGAUGAAUUGUGUAAAUUUUUGUAAUGUGUCUAGGAGGAGAGCCUUCCGGAAAAGGCAAAGAAGUCGUACCCGACGAGUAGUGAUCGGGGCGCUUAGAAAGCUUUUAGUUUGUACAAACGGUGAGUAAACUUAUUAUUAUUGUAAAUUAUCUAGAGUUUAUUUUUAAAUGCCCUUUAUGUAUUUUAUGAAAUGAAAACGAGAUUAAAACGGGAUUUUUGAUGUUUUAGGAAUAAAUGUGACAAAUAAAAAUAUAUUGUAUUGAUUAUGAAAUUGAGUAAUUGGAGGCUGCAAAUUGACUUGAAAAAUAUAUAUUUUCCUAGGAAUGGCUUAUGAGAAAUGAGUAUAUGUGGCUAUAUUUUGUGAGUGCAUUGGGAAAUUUAUGUAAGUUGUUUUUACUAUGCAGGCUGGAUAAAUAAAUAAAAGCCACGUUAUACUGUCGAAAUUUUAUUAAAAUUGGUGGGUUAGUCACUGCAGUGACGGGUUUCCGUGGACUGCCUAUUAGAGGGGCACGGUAAACCCAGUUAUAUAGUUACUCCGGUUGUAGAGGCGAGGAGGGUAACUCCCGGGGUAGUAUUAGAGCUCACUUCACGUCGAACCCCCACGUGAAUGUGUAACUCGGCCAACGCCAAGGAACGGCUGGUUUUAAAAAUAAAAAUGUGUUUCACGUGUGAAUAUUUUAACACCCUUGGCGGACUCGGUUAGAUGCCUCGGCCAAGGUAUCCCCGAGGAUUAGUUUUGGCUUGAGCCUUGUUUUAAUAAAAGACAUAAGCCUUAACAACUGUUUUGGUAAAUUACAAAUAUUUUAUGGUUUAAGAAAUAAAUUGAAAACAUUAUGAAAUGGGUUGAAAUUUGUUGUUUAAACUUGCCUCCAUUUUACUCGCCUUUAGAUAUUUAUGAUAAUGUCUGUUUACUCAUUGGGAUUGCAAAAUCUCACCCAACUCCUUUCCACCCAUUUCAGGUUCAGUAUAGACUGUAGAUAGCUGAUCUCAUCGAGGACUACCAUUGGAUCUGCAUUUUCCAAACCGUAGGUUCACAGUCCUCUUUACUUUUGUUUAUUCGGGGGCCCUCUUGUUAUUGUAAAUUAAAUUAAAUAUUUUGGCUUACUGUAUUU